This 429-nucleotide ribosomal RNA is filed under the name Verrucomicrobiota bacterium. RNAcentral's name for it is "Verrucomicrobia bacterium partial 16S ribosomal RNA". It matches the Rfam family "Bacterial small subunit ribosomal RNA", at positions 355 to 776 of the family's 1533-position model. Lineage: Bacteria; Pseudomonadati; Verrucomicrobiota. The record is from RNAcentral.
UAGGGAAUCUUCCGCAAUGGACGAAAGUCUGACGGAGCAACGCCGCGUGAGUGAAGAAGGAUUUCGGUUCGUAAAACUCUGUUGUUAGGGAAGAAAAAAUGUAUAGUAACUAUAUACAAAAGAGACGGUACCUAACCAGAAAGCCACGGCUAACUACGUGCCAGCAGCCGCGGUAAUACGUAGGUGGCAAGCGUUGUCCGGAAUUAUUGGGCGGAAAGCGGGCGCAGGUGGUUUGGAAAAGCUGAGGUGAAAGACCACGGCUCAACCGUGGAGGGUCAUUGGAAACUAAUAAACUUGAGUGCAGGAGAGAAAAGUGGAAUUCCUAGUGUAGCGGUGAAAUGCGUAGAGAUUAGGAGGAACACCGGUGGCGAAAGCGGCGUUUUGGCCUGCAACUGACACUGAGGCGCGAAAGCGUGGGGAGCAAACAGG